Molecule: non-coding RNA, 21 nt
Filed under: Arabidopsis thaliana (thale cress)
Lineage: Eukaryota; Viridiplantae; Streptophyta; Magnoliopsida; Brassicales; Brassicaceae
Source: RNAcentral
UAGAGUGCUCAAAGCAAGCCU